This 81-nucleotide non-coding RNA is filed under the name Gordonia amarae NBRC 15530. RNAcentral's name for it is "ZMP/ZTP riboswitch aptamer (pfl RNA motif)". It matches the Rfam family "ZMP/ZTP riboswitch aptamer (pfl RNA motif)". From Rfam's summary of the family: Previously known as pfl RNA. ZMP is also known as AICAR. The record is from Rfam by way of RNAcentral. Lineage: Bacteria; Bacillati; Actinomycetota; Actinomycetes; Mycobacteriales; Gordoniaceae.
CAUCGGCAGUGCGACUGGCGUAGCCGGAGUACCGGCAUGGAGCGUUUAUCGACGACGGCAUCGACCGCCUGGGUGCCGACG